AGUACUCCGCCUGAGUAGUACGUACGCAAGUAUGAAACUUAAAGGAAUUGACGGGAUCCCGCACAAGCGGUGGAUCAUGUUGUUUAAUUCGAAGAUACACGAAAAACCUUACCAGGUCUUGACAUAUUCUGCGAAGCUAUAGAAAUAUAGUAGAGGUUACCAGAAAUACAGGUGGUGCAUGGUUGUCGUCAGCUCGUGUCGUGAGAUGUUAGGUUAAGUUCUAAAACGAGCGCAACCCUUAUCGUUAGUUACCAGCAUGUUAUGAUGGGGACUUUAGCGAGACUGCCAAUGAAAAAUUGGAGGAAGGUGAGGAUUACGUCAAAUCAUCAUGCCCCUUAUGAUCUGGGCUA
Molecule: ribosomal RNA, 350 nt
Filed under: Coconut lethal yellowing phytoplasma
Lineage: Bacteria; Bacillati; Mycoplasmatota; Mollicutes; Acholeplasmatales; Acholeplasmataceae
Description: bacterial SSU rRNA
Rfam family: Bacterial small subunit ribosomal RNA
Source: RNAcentral